Molecule: long non-coding RNA, 556 nt
Filed under: Homo sapiens (human)
Lineage: Eukaryota; Metazoa; Chordata; Mammalia; Primates; Hominidae
Description: long non-coding RNA NONHSAT182129
Source: RNAcentral
AAAAAUGUGUUUCUCUUAAUCAGGCCUACUUUCCCCACUCCCAAACAAUGAUACAUCUUCUCCAAGCAUUGGAUGUGGCCAAUCGGCUAGAAGUGAUUCCUAAAAUUUGGAAAGUAAAGAAUAUGGUCAUACUUUCCGCAGUGACCUGAGAGAAGAGAUCCUGAUGCUCAUGGCAAGGGACAAGCACCCACCAGAGCUUCAGGUGGCAUUUGCUGACUGUGCUGCUGAUAUCAAAUCUGCGUAUGAAAGCCAACCCAUCAGACAGACUGCUCAGGAUUGGCCAGCCACCUCUCUCAACUGUAUAGCUAUCCUCUUUUUAAGGGCUGGGAGAACUCAGGAAGCCUGGUGAGUACAGUACCACAAGUAUACACUUUAGAAGCUUUUGUAUUUGAAUCUAAAACAUUGGCCCACGCUGGUAGAGGUUCUUUCAUUUGGCCACAUAACACGUAUUUGAUUCGGGAACUUGCAAAUACCAACUAAAAAGCAAACUUUUGGAAGAAGACAGUAUGCAUGAUGUAGUUGAGAUAAGGCAUAGUUCUCUCAAACCAUACGCUGA